UUCCAGACUCCUACGGGAGGCAGCAGUGAGGAAUAUUGGUCAAUGGGCGCGAGCCUGAACCAGCCAAGUAGCGUGAAGGAUGACUGCCCUACGGGUUGUAAACUUCUUUUAUAAAGGAAUAAAGUGAGGCACGUGUGCCUUUUUGUAUGUAUUUUAUGAAUAAGGAUCGGCUAACUACGUGCCAGCAGCCGCGGUCAUACGUAGGAUCCGAGCAUUAUCCGGAGUGACUGGGUGUAAAGAGUUGCGUAGGUGGCAUAAUAAGUAGCUAGUGAAAUCUGGUGGCUCAACCAUUCAGACUAUUAGCUAAACUGUUAAGCUCGAGACCGUUAGGGGUAACUGGAAUUUCUAGUGUAGGAGUGAAAUCCGUAGAUAUUAGAAAGAACACCGAUAGCGUAGGCAGGUUACUGGGACGGUUCUGACACUAAGGCACGAAAGCGUAGGGAGCAAACGGGAUUAGAUACCCCAGUACCU
This 471-nucleotide ribosomal RNA is filed under the name uncultured bacterium. RNAcentral's name for it is "partial 16S ribosomal RNA". It matches the Rfam family "Bacterial small subunit ribosomal RNA", at positions 329 to 796 of the family's 1533-position model. The record is from RNAcentral.